AAUGAACGCUGGCGGCGCGCCUAAUACAUGCAAGUCGAGCGAGAAGACGUAGCAAUACGUUUGUAAAGCGGCGAACGGGUGAGGAAUACAUGGGUAACCUACCCUAGAGUGGGGAAUAACUAGCCGAAAGGUUAGCUAAUACCGCGUACGCUCCUUGGACUUCGGUUCAGGGAGGAAAGCGAUGCCGAGGGUAUCGCGCUCUUGGAUGGGCUCAUGUCCUAUCAGCUUGUUGGNGAGGUAACGGCUCACCAAGGCUUCGACGGGUAGCUGGUCUGAGAGGACGAUCAGCCACACUGGCACUGCGACACGGGCCAGACUCCUACGGGAGGCAGCAGUAAGGAAUAUUGCGCAA
Molecule: ribosomal RNA, 352 nt
Filed under: uncultured bacterium
Lineage: Bacteria
Description: bacterial SSU rRNA
Rfam family: Bacterial small subunit ribosomal RNA
Source: RNAcentral